RNAcentral lists this long non-coding RNA (5312 nucleotides) under Eucalyptus grandis. Its description in RNAcentral is "long non-coding RNA (EGRA_LNC000195)". The record is from RNAcentral. Lineage: Eukaryota; Viridiplantae; Streptophyta; Magnoliopsida; Myrtales; Myrtaceae.
UAUAUAUCGCCGAUCCUUUCAUUUAUUAAGCACAUGCGGAAGCAAUUAAAAUCCCCAGACAAUAAAACGAUGGGAUAGAAAAGCAUGGCCAUAUUUUUCAUAUUGAAAUUUAUAACCAAACUUUUAUACAAAACACAAAUCACUUCAUAACUAUUCACAUCAAAAUGGAGAUCUCAAAAGAAGAUAGGAUCUCAAUUCAUCCAAGCCAUACGCAAGGCCCUCCUCGGGAUUAUCUUCUUCUCCCAAAAAUCUUUCUCCUUAAGUUUCAUCGCAGAGUACUCCUUCUCAGAUUCCUCCUCAGCUCCUCAACGGGGUCCUGAAAUGUUUUCCCCAAACUGAGAUGAGACUACGUCUCAGCGAGUUCUACCCCCACUAAGCCCGAUUAGUAAACCAUUAUACUAUAGGCGGCCUAUACACGCACAGGGCAGAAGACGUACCUUGGCCUCAGAUCCCACCUGCAAGUCAGUACUAUUCACAAUAGGCACUCAUGUCAUGCCCCGACCCUCAGGCACGCACACAUCCCUUACUUUUGGUCGAUUUUAAAAUGCGAUAUCCCAGGACUAUGUAUCGCCGACCCUUUCUUUUAUAUAUGCACAUGCGGAAGCAGUUAUAAUUCCCCAGACAAUAAAACAAUGGGAUAGAAAAGCAGGCCAUACAUUUUUCAUACUGAAAAUUCACAACUACAACUUUUUACAUGCAAACAAGGUCUGACAAGACAGGAUAGGAUUUCGGUCCUCAUUCGGGUCGUACUCGAUGUCAUACUCGGGUUCCUCCACGUACUCCUCUUUGGGUUCCUCAACAGGGAUCUCCUCAUCAGAUUCAUGCUCCUUAGGCUCCUCAUCCAGGUCCUGAAAUGGUUAUUCAAUAACCACUGAGACCACGUCUCAGCAAGUUCUACUUCCUAAGACCCGAUUAGUAAACUAAUACACCUUAGGGCUGCCUACGCACAACAUGAGUUAGAAGACUUACCUUGGCCUCAGAUUUCACCUACAUAUUAGUACAGAUCAAAUAGGCACACAAGCAAUCACAUCACAGAUCGAAGCAUCGAUCUAAUCGACUUAGUCGAUUUCACAUUAGGAAGACCACUCGCAAUCAUCUCCCUUCAAUCAUUCAAUUCACAACAUCAAACCAAGGCAAUGAAUCACAUCAAGACACUCUCAGAUCGAAUCAUCGAUCAAUCGACCGAGUCGAUUACAUGUCAUCACGACCCACACUUGGUCGGCACAUUCCAUACUAUCUAUAAAGUCCUAUCAAAUCAAGACUACUCACCCAAAGCUGACAAUUAGAUAGUAUAACUCGCUCGAAGCUGAUAAUAAAGUAUACUGCUCACCCAAAGCUGACAUAUCGCCCGUAGGUCGAUAUAGUAUACUGGUAUACUGCUCACCCAAAGCUGACAUAUCGCCCGAAGGCCGAUAUAGUAUACCAUAUGCUCACCCAAAGCUGAUAAUAAAGUAUACUGCUCACCCAAAGCUGACAUAUCGCCCGUAGGUCGAUAUAGUAUACUGGUAUAUUGCUCACCCAAAGCUGACAUAUCGCCCGAAGGUCGAUAUAGUAUACCUCCAAUUCUCACCAGAAGCUACCAACCAUACCUUUAUAGUAUGCCGGAAUAAUCAUUUAAUCAAAUCACCAUUUUUAUCCUUUCUAAUAAAAAUACCCGUGCGUGGGCACACGGUCGGUCUUAGCCAAAAUAAUAUAAUUUCCUUUCCACAAAUCCCACCAUUAUCUGUAGUCCACCAAAACACUUUUGGUGCUGUUAACCGACACCCGGUUAUUUUCCAAAUAUUAAUCAAAGAUUAUUCCAUUAAAGAAUAAUUCCCAAUUUCACAAAUAAUUCAAUUCAGCACAAAAUAAAGCUCAAUUAAAUAAAUGAACUGCGCCACGACAAUCAGAACCAAAUUCCGGUCGCUGGCCAUCCAAGUUGAAUUUUCGAAAAAUAAAUAAUUAAACAAUUAAUUUCGAAAAUUAAAUAAAUACAUACAAUAAAUUUGAUUUAGCAUAAUAUAAAGCUCAAUUAAAUAAACGGACUGCACUACGAUCAUCAGCAUAAAAUUUCGGUUCCGGACCAUCUCAGUUGAAUUUUCGGAAAAUAAAUAAUUAUUUAAUUUAAUUCCGAAAAUUAAUAUUUAAAAUGCCAAAAAUCUCACUUAUGCCCGAAUUGCUUAAUUAACACCCGAUAAGGGUCGGGAAAAAUCCCACGAAGCAUCCAAUAAAUACUACAAGCAAUUCUCUGUCUAAUUACACUAAUCACACAACUAAUAUGCAAAGCAAUUAACUAAUAAUUACUAAUCAAUUCUAAUCUAACAACCUAAUUACACUUAAUUAACACUAAUCAACAUUUAAGUAUAAUUAGCAAACUAAGAAGGCAUUAGUGAGUAAAACUCACUCAAAACGACGGGCUCGACGCGAGGAUCGGCUUUCCUCAAAGCGGGCCGAGCAUCCGGGCUCGGGAAGGCGGCCAAAACUGGCCAAAACCUCACUGCAAACCCAUUUUCUGUCUUCUCUGUUUGCUGCUGAUUGGGGGCGGAUCCAGGCUCGGAUUGAAGCAAUAGCAGACCUAGAUGGACGGAGGGGCCGAACCGAACCUAGGCGGGGCUUCACGGUGGCCGGAGGUGGGGUGGACGACUCCGGUGAAGCUCCACCAGAUCUGAAACAUUGCUGGAACAGAGGGCUGAGUGAGGGGGAGGCCGAGGUAGGCGGAGCACGGGACAGCAACUCGGUGAUGGUGGUGGACGGCGGAACGGCAGCGACAACGGAACAGCGGUGGCGUGCGACGACGGUGGCAAGGGGCGCCGAUGGGCAGAGCUGCUGCUGCUGCGUUCGAACGAGAGGGGCGGAAGAGAGGGCGUGCGGUGAGGUACGGCCAACCGCGGAGCAGCAACGGCGGCUCCGGCUUCGGUGGGUGACAACGGCGGCGAGAGGCGGCGACGGCAGCUGCUUCUACUUCGCUGGUCUUCCGUUGCUGCUGAAGAAGAAAGCCAAAGAAAAGAGAAGAAGAUGGAGAUGCUCGACGGAGGAAGAGGGGAAACCGGUUUUCUCCUCUUCUCUCUCUCUCUCUCUCUCUCUCUCUCUCUCUCUCUCUCUCUGGCCCCACUACCAGCUACCUUCCACUUUUCAUUUCCAAGCCCUAAAUUGCCCCUUCUAGAAGCUUUAAGGUAAUUUAAAUUUUUGGUUCUAUGGGCAUACGAAUUUUGAAACAAUUGGCUUCCAUUAAUCACUUGAUUUACUUUAAAUCCAUCUCAAUUGGCCUCAAUGCUUCCAUUAAAUAUUCUCCUCAUCCAAUAGCUCAUGUCGCAUCUCAAUUUUGUAUUCCAUUUUAAUCCCCGACUCCAAGUGCAUAGAAAUGACCUGAUUAAUUCAAUUGAAAUUACUACCGAAUAUUUUGGAUGUCACAACUCAAGCAAUCAUAUCACCGAUCGAAGCAUCGAUCAAAUCGACCUAGUUGAUUACAAGCCAAUAAGACCACUCACGGUCAUUUCCAUUCAGUCAAUCAAUUCACAACAUCAAAUCAAGACAAUGAUCAAUCACACUGAAUCACACUCAGAUCUAAUCAUCGAUCAAUCGACCUAGUCGAUUACAAGUCAGUUGAAUCAUUUCUAGGUCAUUUACUCCAUCCCACAUAAUCUCAAAUAGUAGACUUAGUCACAGAGCUCCAUCAAUGCUCUCGGGCGCCAUUUUCACCAAGGUGACAUGAGUAACAGACGGUCUACGUGCGUUCUUUAAGGCGCCGUUUUCGCACAGUGAUAUUCCUCAUCACCGAAUCACGCCCAUCAUAGGUCACAAAUCACUAACAGUCUACGUGCGUUCUUUAAGGCGCCGUUUUCGCACAGUGAUGUCCUUCAUCACCGAACCACGCCUGUCACGAUUCAUAGGUAGUCUACGUGCGUUCUUUAAGGUACCGUUUUCGCACAGUGAUAUCCUUAAUCACCGAACCACACCUACCACAAGUCAUAGACAGUCUACGUGCGUUCUUUAAGGCGCCGUUUUCGCACAAUGAUGUACUUUAUCACCGAACCACGCCUGUCUAUACUUCGUACUUGAUCGGUCUCAACCAAUAAAAUUCUCAGUUAGCUCUCAUCGCUCUCUCCACUUACAGCUCAACAAGGUAUUACAAUUGCUAACUAGCCAUACUCGGCCAUCUACCAAUCAAUAAUUCAAUUUCACUCAAUUUCAAUCAAUUUAGGGUAAAUCCCUAAAAUAUCACAAUUUAUUUAAUUUCAUACAACGUAGAGCUCAAAUAAAUAAAUGGACUACGCCACGACAAUCAGCACGAGAUUUCGGUCGUCGGUCAUCAAAAUCUUAAUUUCCGAAAAUUAAUUAAUUAAUUAAUUAAUUUCGAAAAUUAAUUAAUAAUUAUUAAAAAAUUCAAUUUAGCACAAAAUAAAGCCCAAUUAAAUAAACGGACUUCACCACGGUCAUCAACAUAAUAUUUCGGUUCCGGACCAUCUCAAUUGAAUUUUCGGAAAAUAAAUAAUUAUUUAAUUUAAUUCCGAAAAUUAAUAUUUAAAUACUAAAAAUUCCACUUAGGCCCGAAAAGCCUAAUUGAAGCCCACUAAGGGUCGGGAAAAAUCCCGAGGCACUUCCAAUAAAUAGUAGACCACGUCUACUUACUAAUUGCGCGAUCAAUUUAUCUAAAUCACAUCACAAUUGACUAAUAAUUGCUAAUUUAUUCUAAUCUAACAACCUAAACAUAAUUAAUUAAAACUAAACCAACCUUAAGCAUAAUUAGCCAACUAAUCCGGGAUUAGUGAGAUUACUCACCAAAUCACGCGCAAAUCGGAUCAAUCCGACGGGGGCGACGGGAGGAACGAUUCUUCCCAAAGCACGGCUCGGGUUCGGGGCCCGAAAACGGCCCAAAAGCGGGCCCCGAACCAGCUGGAAACCCAUUUUGUGGGUUGCGGUUCAAAGCUUGCCGGAGCUAAUCCGGCGGCUAGGGCGAGGAGGGGAGGCCGGCGGAGGGCGAGGGAAACGUCGGGGAGGUCCGGCGGUGCUGGGCGGUGGCUGGAGGAGGCUGCACGGGGCGGAACCGAGCUGAACAGGGACCGAACAGGGCUGUCUCGCGCGGGGAAGGGGCGCCUGGGCGGAGGAGAGGGCAGGCGGCGGACGGCGGCGAGCGGCGGACGCGGGGCGUGCGAGCGCGGGCAGCGGGACGGGCGGCGACAGCAGCCGCGGCGAGCUGCUGCUUCUGCUCCUGGUUCAGUUCGUUCGACGCACAGGGAGGAAGAAGAAGAAGAAAGAGAGAGAGAGAGAGAGAGAGAGAGAGAGAGAGAGAAAAGAUAAGGCUUGACCGGUCAAAAGGGAAGAGAGAGGGCAAG